GGUUGUGAAGACAAUCUGGCUGCAACAUCUGUCACCCAUUGAUCACCAGGGUUAUUUCAGCUGAUCUGGCUGGCUAGGCGGGUGUCCCUUUCCUCCCUCACCACUCCUUGUUCAUGCUCAGUCGAAGAGGGUGACCUUCCCCAGUAGAUGAGAACCCUUCUUGGGUUAAGGAUAUUAUGAAUAGAUGUGUUUCCCAGCUAGAAUCUACAAACAAGCUCUCAAAACAAAAAAUAAAAAGGACUGGGGAUGUAGCAAAUAUGCCAUUUAUUUAAAAGGAGUCUUAUAUUU
Molecule: small nuclear RNA, 288 nt
Filed under: Marmota marmota marmota (Alpine marmot)
Lineage: Eukaryota; Metazoa; Chordata; Mammalia; Rodentia; Sciuridae
Description: 7SK RNA (ENSMMMG00000010066.1)
Rfam family: 7SK RNA
About the family: 7SK was discovered as an abundant small nuclear RNA in the mid-70s but a possible function has only recently been suggested.
Source: RNAcentral